CACCAGCCAAUAGAUUGAUUUGGGGCUGUAGCUUGUUUUUCUAGCAGUUGCUGGAGUUCCUGUUCUCUUUGCCAGCGUGGCUGAAGCUUUUCUAUAACCCUCGGGUUAUAGCAAUGAAUUUCCAUUUAGCCAUGACAAAUGACUUUGCUGCUCCCCUCUCUCUCCACCGGGCCCCCCUCCUUGUUCUGAAGUCUCCCUCUUAGAGGUAGCUCGAGGGCCUUCCCUUAAUGUGACGGGAGCAGGUACUGGCACUUCCAGUCCUCAGAGCUGGUAUCACUCCAGAACAGGCUGAUUAUGAUGCAGAGGGGAGAGAGGCUGGGGUAGGGGAAAGACGAUGAGAAGAGGAAGAUGAGAGCUGGGUUGCAGUGUGAGCCAGCUUUGCCCAGCCCCACAAUCCCUGCUAAGGAUAAGGAAGUCUCAUACCCCAGGCCCCACCUGCUGGAACAAGGUGUACUCCAAGCAUGUGACAGGAGAACUUCAGAAAUUCAAACCAUCCCUCAUCCAGAUUUCCACAGCGGGACUUGGCCCUGCCAACUCAUUGCCAUGUUUCAGCAGGUACAAGGCAACUCUUAGAGACAUCCUUUCAAUGCACUCUUCAGGAUAUAAAGCCUUAGGAUAAAGUACAAAUUCAGAUUGGGGAGACAAAAAGGUCCAGCUGCCCUUGGGCCACUCCUGCCCCCAGCAAAGUAGGAGAAAGACUUCUUCCCACCCUUAAUCCUCCCACGUCCUUCUCUCAUAUUUGGCCAGGUAAAUCCACUACCUUUUCAACCAAGGAUUUAGUAGCAGCUAACUCAGAAUACAUGGCACCCCACUCCAGUACUCUUGCCUGGAAAAUCCCAUGGACAGAGGAGCCUGGUAGACUGCAGUCCAUGGGGUCACUAGGAGUCAGACACGACUGAGCGACUUCAUUUUCACUUUUCACUCUCAUGCAUUGGAGAAGGAAAUGGCAACCCACUCCAGUGUUCUUGCCUGGAGAAUCCCAGGGACAGGGGAGCCUGGUGGGUUGCCAUCGAUGGGGUCACACAGAGUCGGACACGACUGAAGCGACUUAGCAGCAGUAGCAGCAGCAACUCAGAAUAUGGGCUUCCCUGGUGGCUCAGUGAUAAAGAAUCUGCCUGCCAAUGCAGGAGUCACAGGUUCGAUCCCUGGGUCGGGAUGGUCCCCUGGAGAAGGAAAUAGCAACCCACUCCAGUAUUCUUGCCUGGGAAAUCCCAUGGACAGAGGAGCCCAGCAGGCUGGUCCAUGGAGUCACGAGAGUUGGACACAACUGAGCAACUAAACAAUAACAAUUCAGAGUAUGAGCAGACCUUUUCUCUUGGGAAAGUAUUUUGAAGAGAACCGAAAAUCCGGAACUCCCAAGAGAGCAGAAGAAGAAGUUAGGCAG
RNAcentral lists this long non-coding RNA (1384 nucleotides) under Bos indicus x Bos taurus (hybrid cattle). Its description in RNAcentral is "lncRNA (ENSBIXG00000023741.1)". The record is from RNAcentral. Lineage: Eukaryota; Metazoa; Chordata; Mammalia; Artiodactyla; Bovidae.